CUUUCAUUGUUUAUUCCAAUUCGUCUUCCUAUGGUGACCGAUCGUAGACAAACUUUCACGAGGUGAAUCCGAGAAACGGUCUAUCGAAGUUGCGAUUACGCCACGUUUUGUUUCUUCCGUUUGAAUUUCCCGCGCUACGCAAAAACGCGGUGCCGUUCGAAAUACCGGUGCGUGUAUUACACAUCCUUUCGAAUAAAUUUUACUAAUAUGAUCGCGACUGUUUGUGGAACGAUUAAGAUACUUAACGGAUGAUCUUCUAUGGAAUUUAUGGACGGCUUCCAAAAUCUGGACGAUUAUUGUCACUUAGAAUAUAACUGUUCGUGAAUUAAGUGAAGCUUGAUUAAUUGUGUAAACGAUGGAGUAUGCAUACACUCGAAAGUAACGGACUAAGCUCGAAAAUGUGGCAUAUAAAGUUUCUCUGAUCAUUGGAGAAUUGAUGCGAACAUUUGCGAUUUGAUAUCGAACCGCAUCGUAUUUCACAAUUGGUGCAAUGAACUUUAGAUUACGGAAGUCGCAACUAUAAAUUCUACUUUGAACCGUGACACGGCGCAUGCGCGGUGGUUGACCAAUAGCGGAAGCCCGGCGUUGCAACAGAUUUCCAAUGAUCCUGAAAAUAUUUAUUCCUGCUGAUUAACCCAGGUAUGUACAAGAACGAAAAGUAAAAAAUUAUUCAAAACCUCAAUCAGAGCCACAAACUGGUACAAGUGCAAGAAGAAAACUGAAAAUGGAAAGAAGUCAUAUAUUUAAAUAUAUUAACUUCUAAAUCAAGUGAUUUGUUGAAGAGAAACU
Long non-coding RNA from Megachile rotundata (alfalfa leafcutting bee), 789 nucleotides. The record is from RefSeq and is a predicted model, not a curated record. Lineage: Eukaryota; Metazoa; Arthropoda; Insecta; Hymenoptera; Megachilidae.